This 625-nucleotide small RNA is filed under the name Alicyclobacillus acidoterrestris ATCC 49025. Lineage: Bacteria; Bacillati; Bacillota; Bacilli; Caryophanales; Alicyclobacillaceae. The record is from RNAcentral.
AGAUACUUAUGAUUGGGUGGCGCAGUAUUCUAGUCAGCCGUCCGUGCCUGAAGGCGGGGCUAAAAAUCCGUCAAAGGGCACAUCGAUGAAGUUCCUGGUGUUGGCUUGGGGCGCCCAGCCCUGGGCUUAUGCUGGGAGUUAAGAAAGUUGGGUAGUCCGCAAUGGCAUGUGGAACCUAACCCAGCUUUCGCGGAGGCCCAAGUGCGUAGCUCGCAGUCCACAAUUUUGUGGAAGGGUUAUGGCUUGGGGUAUGAACCUGCAUGUGGAGGCAAUCUGUGUGCAGUGUAGCCUGCCUUGAGUGGUGCUGAAGGAUCCUAGGUAUUCAGGCAAGUUGCCGCGGCCACGGCAACUUCGCCGGUGCUGGGUGAAAUCCGUACUGCAAAAGAGGCUAGGGUGCGGUAACGGCUGCCGCGGAAAACGCCUAGACUGUUCACUACAACGUGAGACAUCUUGAGGAUUAUAGUGUGGACUAAGUGGUAAUCUAGUCCGGCAGUCGGCGACGCUGUCGAGUUGUGCUUAAAGGGAAACCGCCGAAACGGCGACGUUUGGGUGCGCGACUGGGAAAACCUACUGGACCUAAGCCACAGCGUUUACUCAAGAUGUUGCCACCCACUCUCACUACUAC